GGAAUUGUCUAUCUAGGUGUCGCGACGCCUCGAACUGCUUGGUACCGGAACAUUCCAUUUCGUGAGAAAAGGAUUUCUAACAUUAUCCCAUGAACAAAGCCAAGCUCUGUUUGUAAGUACUGGGAGGACAGCGAAUAUCGACGAAGUAUUUCUCCAAUGGAAGUCAACGCUAGCUAAGAAGUUUACAACACAAACACAUGGUAAACAUGUGGUUGUUUUAAUAACAAGGCGUACAGUCACGGCACGUAACGGGGAUGGAGGCAAUGGCAAGUAU
Molecule: long non-coding RNA, 274 nt
Organism: Dermacentor silvarum
Lineage: Eukaryota; Metazoa; Arthropoda; Arachnida; Ixodida; Ixodidae
Exons: 3
Source: RefSeq, a predicted model, not a curated record